Molecule: ribosomal RNA, 926 nt
Filed under: uncultured bacterium
Lineage: Bacteria
Description: bacterial SSU rRNA
Rfam family: Bacterial small subunit ribosomal RNA
Source: RNAcentral
ACGCUGGCGGCAGGCUUAACACAUGCAAGUCGAACGGUAACAGGGAUUAGCUUGCUAAUCUGCUGACGAGUGGCGGACGGGUGAGUAAUGCUUGGGAAUCUGGCUUAUGGAGGGGGAUAACUACGGGAAACUGUAGCUAAUACCGCGUAAAAUCUUAGGAUUAAAGGGUGGGACUUUCGAGCCACCUGCCAUAAGAUGAGCCCAAGUGGGAUUAGGUAGUUGGUUAGGUAAAGGCUGACCAAGCCGACGAUCUCUAGCUGGUCUGAGAGGAUGACCAGCCACACUGGAACUGAGACACGGUCCAGACUCCUACGGGAGGCAGCAGUGGGGAAUAUUGCACAAUGGGGGGAACCCUGAUGCAGCCAUGCCGCGUGAAUGAGGAAGGCCUUCGGGUUGUAAAGUUCUUUCGGUGACGAGGAAGGUUGGUAGGUUAAUAGCCUAUCAAAUUGACGUUAAUCACAGAAGAAGCACCGGCUAACUCCGUGCCAGCAGCCGCGGUAAUACGGGGGGUGCGGGCGUUAAUCGGAAUAACUGGGCGUAAAGGGCACGCAGGCGGUGACUUAAGUGAGAUGUGAAAGCCCCGAGCUUAACUUGGGAAUUGCAUUUCAUACUGGGUCGCUAGAGUACUUUAGGGAGGGGUAGAAUUCCACGUGUAGCGGUGAAAUGCGUAGAGAUGUGGAGGAAUACCGAAGGCGAAGGCAGCCCCUUGGGAAUGUACUGACGCUCAUGUGCGAAAGCGUGGGGAGCAAACAGGAUUAGAUACCCUGGUAGUCCACGCUGUAAACGAUGUCGAUUUGGGGAUUGGGCUUUGAGCUUGGUGCCCGUAGCUAACGUGAUAAAUCGACCGCCUGGGGAGUACGGCCGCAAGGUUAAAACUCAAAUGAAUUGACGGGGGCCCGCACAAGCGGUGGAGCAUGUGGUUUAAU